CAUCCUGGAAACCAUUUUUAUCUGGAUGCUGACAAUCCAAGAAAGGUCUGUGAGAGGUUUCCUGCUGGAAGGCAUCUCCGUUCUUGCUGGGUUUCAUCUAGAGGCAGUGAUCAGCAGCCUCCUUAGAAAGCCUCUGCCAAUGGACAGUGACACCUCUGAGCUCUGGAGGGCCUUGAGCGGGGAAAGAUUUCUUCACCCUCUACAUACUACAGUUGCUCAUGAGCAAGAUUCACCAUCUGGCUGGCACAGACAAGAGCUCAGCUGAGGACAUCAUGGCCCUUGGGCCUCUAGAAGCAAGUGACAAUCCAGGUCCAGCUCUGUCGGUUCCCCCUUGAGGGCUAGAAUCCUGGUUCUCAAGAGCUUGAGGCAACAUGUGCAUCUUUAGAGAUGCUCACCACCAUUCACUCCAGCCCAGUGCUAAGGAAGCUGCUCCCAGAGAUUCUCUGUGCUCUUCUGGAGCAAGUUCGCCGCACUGUAGGGCAGUACAUGCCAAUGCCCACAGGGAGCAUCCGGAGGAGACAACUGCAGAAGGGGCAGUUGCGAGCAGUGGGAAACCCUUGCAGGUAAGGAGUAGACUGUGACUGCUUUCACAGGUUUAGCC
Alligator mississippiensis (American alligator) is the source of this 601-nucleotide long non-coding RNA. RefSeq lists it as uncharacterized. The transcript has 3 exons. Lineage: Eukaryota; Metazoa; Chordata; Crocodylia; Alligatoridae. The record is from RefSeq and is a predicted model, not a curated record.